RNAcentral lists this small nuclear RNA (316 nucleotides) under Carlito syrichta (Philippine tarsier). RNAcentral describes it as "7SK RNA (ENSTSYG00000021146.2)". It matches the Rfam family "7SK RNA". From Rfam's summary of the family: 7SK was discovered as an abundant small nuclear RNA in the mid-70s but a possible function has only recently been suggested. Lineage: Eukaryota; Metazoa; Chordata; Mammalia; Primates; Tarsiidae. The record is from Rfam by way of RNAcentral.
GGAUGUGAGAGUGAUCUGGCUGCAACAUCUCUCAUUCCAUUGACCACCAGGUUGAUUUGGCUGAUCUGGUUGACGAGGUGAGUGUCCCCUUUCCCCCUCACUGCUCCAUGUGUGUCCCUCCAGAAGCUACACACUUGGUCAAAGAGAAUGACCGUUUCCACUAAAGGAGGACCAUUCUUUUCUCAAGGGUAUAUGGGUAGCUGUGCUCCUCUGUUAGAUCCUCCAAAACAGUUCUCUAGAAAUGUCAAAAGUUAAAGAAUGCAAUACAUAGUCUUCAACCACUGUCCGACACAUGUAUUUCAUACGGCAUUUCUGU